This 724-nucleotide long non-coding RNA is filed under the name Solanum tuberosum (potato). RNAcentral's name for it is "long non-coding RNA (STUB_LNC010525)". Lineage: Eukaryota; Viridiplantae; Streptophyta; Magnoliopsida; Solanales; Solanaceae. The record is from RNAcentral.
GAACUUCUGCAAUUACAUUAAUUGAAGGUAAUGAAAGGAAUAUUAAAAUGAUGAUUGAAAAGUUAGUUUGGUAAUGCAAACAUCACAUCGAUGUUUAUGCAAAGAUAUGACACUUGGGCCCAACUCAUGUCUCAUCUCUAAAAGCUAGCUUAUUUGGGGGGUAGUCCAAGUCCAUUUAACAAACCACCCGACCAUUCCACAUAGGAUGAGGGACUCUAACCCCUCACCCCAGCAGGAGCAUGGACCGGUAGCCCAAAUAGGGAUGGACCUAGCUUUGAUACCAUGUAAAGAUAUGCACCUAGGCCUAGGUCAACCCAUACGUUAGGGAUUGAACUCGUACGAGGAAAUUGUGGAUAUUGUAUAAAAUAGUAUUAUUUAACAAACCACCAUCCAUUCCACAUAGGAUGAGGGACUCUAACCCUUCACGCCUAGGCCCAACAGGAGCAAUGGACCGGUAGCCCAAAUAGGGAUGGACCUAGCUUUGAUACCAUGUAAAGAUAUGCACCUAGGCCUAGGUCAACCCCAUAGUUAGGGAUUGAACUCUCGAGAAAUUGUGGAUAUUGUAUAAAAUAGUAUUAUUUAACAAACCACCCAUCCAUUCCACAUAGGAUGAGGGACUCUAACCCUUCACGCCUAGGCCCAACAGGAGCAUGGACCGGUAGCCCAAAUAGGGAUGGACCUAGCUUUGAUACCAUGUAAAGAUAUGCACUAGGCAUAGCUCAAC